This 484-nucleotide ribosomal RNA is filed under the name uncultured bacterium. Its description in RNAcentral is "partial 16S ribosomal RNA". It matches the Rfam family "Bacterial small subunit ribosomal RNA", at positions 30 to 507 of the family's 1533-position model. The record is from RNAcentral.
AUUGAACGCUGGCGGCAGGCCUAACACAUGCAAGUCGAGCGGAUGAAGGGGGCUUGCUCCUGGAUUCAGCGGCGGACGGGUGAGUAAUGCCUAGGAAUCUGCCUGGUAGUGGGGGAUAACGUCCGGAAACGGGCGCUAAUACCGCAUACGUCCUGAGGGAGAAAGUGGGGGAUCUUCGGACCUCACGCUAUCAGAUGAGCCUAGGUCGGAUUAGCUAGUUGGUGGGGUAAAGGCCUACCAAGGCGACGAUCCGUAACUGGUCUGAGAGGAUGAUCAGUCACACUGGAACUGAGACACGGUCCAGACUCCUACGGGAGGCAGCAGUGGGGAAUAUUGGGCAAUGGGCGAAAGCCUGAUCCAGCCAUGCCGCGUGUGUGAAGAAGGUCUUCGGAUUGUAAAGCACUUUUAGUUGGGAGGAAGGGCAGUAAGUUAAUAUCUUGCUGUUUUGACGUUACCAACAGAAUAAGCACCGGCUAACUUCGUG